Molecule: ribosomal RNA, 119 nt
Organism: Lepisosteus oculatus (spotted gar)
Lineage: Eukaryota; Metazoa; Chordata; Actinopteri; Semionotiformes; Lepisosteidae
Source: Rfam
GCCAGCAGCCAUGUCACCCUGCAACUUACCAUUGGCAGUCCACUGAAGCUAAGCAGAUGUGAGCCUGGUCAGUACCUGGAUGGGAGACCUCCUGGGAAAAACUAAGGUUGCUGCUGGAA